This 2059-nucleotide ribosomal RNA is filed under the name Candidatus Peregrinibacteria bacterium CG22_combo_CG10-13_8_21_14_all_44_10. RNAcentral's name for it is "bacterial LSU rRNA". It matches the Rfam family "Bacterial large subunit ribosomal RNA", at positions 1 to 1978 of the family's 2925-position model. The record is from RNAcentral. Lineage: Bacteria; Candidatus Peregrinibacteriota.
AAAUAAAUUGUAAAAAGAGCAUAGAGUGGAUGCCUUGACUCGAGAUUCCGAUGAAGGACGUGGCUAGCUGCGAUAAGCUUCGGUGAGUUGCUAAGCAAACAGUGACCCGGAGAUUUCCGAAUAGGGAAACCUAAUCAGAGUUAUGUCUGAUUACCUCGCUUAUGCGAGGAGGACACUUGGUGAACUGAAACAUCUAAGUAACCAAGGGAAAGAAAUCAAAAGAGAUCCCCUUAGUAGUGGCGAGCGAAAAGGGAAUAGCCCAAACCUCACUUCGGUGAGGGGUUGUAGGACCCAAUAUGGAUUCAUUUUCUAUUAACCAAAUAUCCCUGGGAAGGGUUACCAAAGAGGGUAAAAGUCCCGUAGGUGAAAAUAGGUUUGAAUCCUAGGAUGUUCCUGAGUAGGGUCGGACACGUGUAAUCCGGCUUGAAUCUGGGAGGACCACCUUCCAAGGCUAAAUAUAUCUCGAGAUCGAUAGUGAACUAGUACCGUGAGGGAAAGGUGAAAAGCACCCCGGAUAGGGGGAUGAAAUAGAACCUGAAACUCUAUGCUUGAAAGGAAUCGGAGCCUCUUUAUGGGGUGACGGUGUACUUUUUGUAGAACGGGCCAACGAGUUAGCUGUAUGUGGCAAGGUUAACCCCAUAAUUGGGGGCAGCCGUAGCGAAAGCGAGUCUUCACCGGCGAAUUAGUCGCAUGCACUAGACCCGAAACCAGGUGAGCUAUCCAUGGGCAGGUUGAACCUCGAGUAAAAUCGAGGGGAGGACCGAACCCACCGUUGUUGCAAGAGCGGGGGAUGACCUGUGGAUAGAGGAGAAAUUCCAAUCGAACCUGGAUAUAGCUGGUUCUCUCCGAAAUAGCUUUAGGGCUAGCCUUGAUCUUAGUGUAGCGGGGGUAGAGCUCUGUUUAGGCUAGGGGGCGAAAUAAGUCUACCAAACCUAGAUAAACUUCGAAUACCGUUAUUAACAUGAUCAGGAGUCAGACAGUGACAGCAAAGUGCCAUUGUCAAAAGGGGAACAGCCCAGAUCGCCGUUUAAGGUCCCUAAUGAAGCUUAAGUGGAAAAGGAUGUAAGAUUGUUUACACAACCAGGAUGUUGGCUUAGAAGCAGCCAUUCAUUUAAAGAGUGCGUAAUAGCUCACUGGUCUAUGUGGUCUUGCGCCGAAAAUACAACGGGGCUAAAGCUUCAACCGAAGACGCGGGAUGUAUUUAUACAUCGGUAGGAGAGCGUUCCUAGCAGCAACGAAGGUCGAAUGUAAAUUCGGCUGGAGCGCUAGGAAGUGAAAAUGUUGGCAUAAGUAACGUAAGUCAGGUGAGAACCCUGGCCACCGAAAACCUAAGGUUUCCCAAGCCACGUCAGUCGUCUUGGGGUUAGUCGGUCCUAAGGUGUAGCCGAAAGGCGAAGCCGAUGGAUAACAGGUUAAUAUUCCUGUACAGUUUAUGUUUCGUCCAAGCAAAGCUGGAACGAGAUAUUUUUUCAUCAUCUUGAAGACUUCGGUCCGAUUGAUAUCGAAAUUUUAUUAAGUGAAGGUGGCGCUAGCUAAGGAGUGACGUUUUUGGACACUCGGAGCGGAUUAAUGAAUUUCCGUGCAAGUAUCAAGCUUAUGUCCCUAUAGGUAAAUCCGUAGGGAUUCGCGAGGUGCGAUGCAAAUGCUGACCCUGUGUCAGUAGAUUCCGAUCACUUCAGGAACCAAGAAAACCUUCGUAGCGAGAAAUAUAAGCUACCGUACCGUAAACCAACACUGGUAGGUGGGUUGAGUAUACUAAGGUGAAUGAGAUAACUAUCGUUAAGGAACUCGGCAAAACAGCAGGCGUAACUUCGGGAUAAGCCUUGCCUUAUUUUGUCACUGGUUUCGAUCAUUGAUGAGAUUAGGCCGCAGCGAAAGAGCCCAUGCAACUGUUUACCAAAAACACAGGUCUCUGCUAAACCGUAAGGUGAUGUAUAGGGACUGACGCCUGCCCAGUGCCAGAAGGUCACGAGGAAGGGUUAACGCUCUGAAUCUAAGCCCUGGUGAACGGCGGCCGUAACUAUAACGGUCCUAAGGUAGCGAAAUUCCUUGUCGGGUA